GACGAACGCUGGCGGCGUGCUUAACACAUGCAAGUCGAACGGAAAGGCCCUGCUUGCAGGGUACUCGAGUGGCGAACGGGUGAGUAACACGUGGGUGAUCUGCCCUGCACUUCGGGAUAAGCCUGGGAAACUGGGUCUAAUACCGGAUAUGAGCCAUUUUUAGUGUGAUGGUUGGAAAGUUUUUUCGGUGUAGGAUGAGCUCGCGGCCUAUCAGCUUGUUGGUGGGGUAAUGGCCUACCAAGGCGGCGACGGGUAGCCGGCCUGAGAGGGUGGACGGCCACAUUGGGACUGAGAGACGGCCCAGACUCCUACGGGAGGCAGCAGUGGGGAAUAUUGCACAAUGGGCGCAAGCCUGAUGCAGCGACGCCGCGUGGGGGAUGACGGCCUUCGGGUUGUAAACUCCUUUCGCUAGGGACGAAGCUUUUUGUGACGGUACCUAGAUAAGAAGCACCGGCUAACUACGUG
Molecule: ribosomal RNA, 465 nt
Filed under: uncultured bacterium
Lineage: Bacteria
Description: partial 16S ribosomal RNA
Rfam family: Bacterial small subunit ribosomal RNA
Source: RNAcentral